Molecule: non-coding RNA, 72 nt
Organism: Desmophyllum pertusum
Lineage: Eukaryota; Metazoa; Cnidaria; Anthozoa; Scleractinia; Caryophylliidae
Source: the annotation of a GenBank genome assembly
GGCGCGGUGGCGUAAUGGUUACCGUGUUGGACUCGUGAUCGAGCGGUCUGGGUUCGAGCCCUGCCGGGGUCA